CCCGCCGGCCCAUUUUCCGACGGCUUGACCAGAAGCCAAGCCUAAACCCACACCUACUCCAACUCCGACGCCAAGCGCCGACAACAACAUCUGUUUGCUGUCCAUUUGAUCUUCCAAAAGCAAAAUAUGUAUUAAAAAAAAAACAAAAAAAAACAAAGUAUUAGUAUUAUUAAUAUAUAGAUCAAGAUCUAAAACGUUGUUACUAAUCGUAACAACAAUAAAAAUUGAAUGAUAACAAACAAAAGGUAUCGAUUUAUCUAUAAUUCUAUAUUGACUAUUUAACCUAACUUAUUCGAGAAUCCAACCGAAACUUUGAAAGUAUUUUCAAAGAUUUAACAAGAGAAAUAUAUACCUUGUUUCGUAAGAUAUCUCUCUCAAAUCUUUUCUUCUGCAGUUUCUUUGUACUUGUUUUGGUCCUAACGAUUCAAUAGUCUGAAAAAUCACAGAGAGUAGUGAGAACCGUGAAAACCAGAUCUAUU
This 479-nucleotide long non-coding RNA is filed under the name Arabidopsis thaliana (thale cress). RNAcentral's name for it is "long non-coding RNA (ATHA_LNC000613)". The record is from RNAcentral. Lineage: Eukaryota; Viridiplantae; Streptophyta; Magnoliopsida; Brassicales; Brassicaceae.